AACGAACGCUGGCGGCAGGCUUAACACAUGCAAGUCGAGCGCCCCGCAAGGGGAGCGGCAGACGGGUGAGUAACGCGUGGGAAUCUACCUUUUGCUACGGAAUAACUCAGGGAAACUUAUGCUAAUACCGUAUGUGCCCUUCGGGGAAAGAUUUAUCGGCAAGGGAUGAGCCCGCCUUGGAUUAGCUAGUUGGUGGGGUAAAGGCCUACCAGGGCGACGAUCCAUAGCUGGUCUGAGAGGAUGAUCAGCCACACUGGGACUGAGACACGGUCCAG
This 275-nucleotide ribosomal RNA is filed under the name uncultured bacterium. Its description in RNAcentral is "partial 16S ribosomal RNA". It matches the Rfam family "Bacterial small subunit ribosomal RNA", at positions 29 to 334 of the family's 1533-position model. The record is from RNAcentral.